Molecule: ribosomal RNA, 389 nt
Filed under: uncultured Sphingobacteriales bacterium
Lineage: Bacteria; Pseudomonadati; Bacteroidota; Sphingobacteriia; Sphingobacteriales
Description: bacterial SSU rRNA
Rfam family: Bacterial small subunit ribosomal RNA
Source: RNAcentral
UGACUGUAGGUGAAAGCUUACAUCUCUUCGGAGCAUUUUACGAGGUGCUGCAUGGUUGUCGUCAGCUCGUGCCGUGAGGUGUCGGGUUAAGUCCCAUAACGAGCGCAACCCCUACCUUUAGUUGCCAUCAGGUUAAGCUGGGGACUCUAAAGGAACUGCCUACGCAAGUAGUGAGGAAGGCGGGGAUGACGUCAAAUCAGCACGGCCCUUACGUCCAGGGCUACACACGUGCUACAAUGGCCGAUACAGAGGGCAGCUACCUGGUGACAGGAUGCAAAUCUCCAAAGUCGGUCUCAGUUCGGAUCGGAGUCUGCAACCCGACUCCGUGAAGUUGGAUUCGCUAGUAAUCGCGCAUCAGCCAUGGCGCGGUGAAUACGUUCCCGGGCCUU